CCUACGGGAGGCAGCAGUGAGGAAUAUUGGUCAAUGGACGAGAGUCUGAACCAGCCAAGUAGCGUGCAGGAAGACGGCCCUAUGGGUUGUAAACUGCUUUUAUCGGGGGAUAAAGUGGGCUACGUGUAGCCUAUUGUAGGUACCCGUUGAAUAAGGACCGGCUAAUUCCGUGCCAGCAGCCGCGGUAAU
Molecule: ribosomal RNA, 189 nt
Filed under: uncultured bacterium
Lineage: Bacteria
Description: partial 16S ribosomal RNA
Rfam family: Bacterial small subunit ribosomal RNA
Source: RNAcentral